This 1007-nucleotide unclassified non-coding RNA is filed under the name Hevea brasiliensis (rubber tree). Lineage: Eukaryota; Viridiplantae; Streptophyta; Magnoliopsida; Malpighiales; Euphorbiaceae. The record is from RNAcentral.
GUUGAAUUUCCCCUGAAAAUUAAGCUCCCUUACAUAUUAUUACAUUUAUAUAUGCAGGCCUCAUGACAUUCCCAAUCUUGGCCCAUGGUUUUGCAAAACAAACCCAAGAUGGAUUAAUUAAAGAAACAAUAAAAAUAUUCCUGCAAAAUGGUAAAAUAGGGAAAAAAACAUGUGGCAGGUUACUAUUAGCCACAUUGGAGGAUCUAGAAAAAAAAAAAAGCCAUCAAGAAGUUGUAAGUAACACGAUAUUUACAUUGGUCAAUGGUUCUGCGUUUGGACAAGUCAGCCACUGCCUAACUUUGUUCCAUAUGUCCCUCUCAAAACAAGAAAGUGUUGCUUCUGUUCUCAUUGGAGGAGGAAGAAGGCUGCCUAGGUGGAGGAGGAGGCGGCCUCGCCACCACAUCGGAGGAAAGACCCUCCAUCACCAACCCAUCUGAGAUAUCCAUGGUUGCAGACCUAGGAUUACCAAGCCUUUGAAAAAACAAAUCACCAUGAGCAGGAGAACUGCUAGUAGUGCUAUUUCCCAAUGAAAACAUGUACGAUGGUUGGCUUUGCUGCUGAUAUUGGAGAUGGUAACCAGCUGCACCUGGGACCAUAACUGCACUAGGGUUAACAUGGGCUUGACGUGGGUUCAACGAAAAACCAAAACUUGGUGCAUUAAGCUGUGAUCCUGAAGAAAAAGGAGCACUAGGGCCACCAGUAAACUGCUGGACCAUGGCCCGAAAAUUCGUAGUAUCUGUGUUCAGUAAAGUUGUAGGAGUUCUCCUUGAAGCUCUAGACCGUCUACGAACAGGCUUGGAGACGCGACCUUCAGGGCUUAAACCGCCACCAGAAGUUGAUGUGGUAGAAUUGCCAGAACCACCCAUUAAUGAGGUAGGGAUAUUGGCAGCCGCUGAGGAGGUGACAGAGGUGGCGACGGUGGCAUCAGAGACACCACCAUCGCAGCCAAACAUGGUUGCUGAAAGAUUUUGGUGAUGGUAGAAUUGGCCCCAGUCACUAGGUGCAGA